This 2581-nucleotide unclassified non-coding RNA is filed under the name Leishmania donovani. The record is from RNAcentral. Lineage: Eukaryota; Euglenozoa; Kinetoplastea; Trypanosomatida; Trypanosomatidae.
UAAAGUAAGAGGCCCAAGUAAACAGCGCCACGGCAACGGUAGUGUCACAGAGAGCACCCAAAAUCUUCCACUGCUCCGACCCCCCCCCCACACACACACACACUCUCCCCUCUGCAUAACUUGACAAGUGAGUGCCACGUCAGACAUGUCAGCCAACAGAAACCACAACACCAAUUAUGCUCCGUAUCCCCAGCGCGGGCAGGGCCGCUUGGCUUUCGACAACAUGCCAGAGGACCUGCCGGAGUACGGCGAGGACGGGCUGCACAUGCUGAACAAUGAACACAGCCAGGAGCACUUGGCGGAUGAGGUAGUGGUGGGAGCUAGCGACGCGGACGGCAAAACCAAGGGGUCCAAGAAGCUCGAGUCCCCCUCGCUCACUGAUGAUGGAGAGCCGGCAGCUAAAGGGAACAAGCAGCAGUCGGCCUACAUGGAUAUCGCACAGCAGAUCAUUGAGGCGGACCAGCGCAACCGUGAGGACCGUGUGUGGCGUCGCCGCCACACCACCAACCCUGUCCUGCGCGCGCUGCAGGUGAUCAUGCCGUAUGGUGGCAUCUUUGCCUCAGCCUUCAGCAUCGCCAGCUCCACGAUCGGCGGCGGCAUCAUCGGACUCCCUGCGGCAUUCCAGAUGAGCGGGAUGGGGAUGGCGAUUAUCUUCUUGAUUGUCUUGGUGAUCAUGGCGAUAUACUCCUUUGUGCUGCUCGCCAUUGUGUCGCACAAGACCGGGCUGUACAACUGGGAGAUCAUCGCGCGUCGCCUGAUGGGCCGCGGCUGGGACUACUUCGUCGUCUUCGUCAUGUGGGUGCUCUGCUUUGGAGGUAUUGUCUCGUACAUCAUUGCCCUCAAGAGCAUCCUGACCGGCUUCCUGAAGAACUCGCCAACUGCAUCUGAAUACAUCAAGUCGGAGCCGGGGUACCGCCUCAUUACGUCGAUGCUGUGGAUUGUUGUGAUCCUGCCGAUGUGCCUGCUGAAGGAGAUCAACUCACUGCGCAUCGUCUCCACAGUGGCCAUCCUCUUCGUCGUGUUCUUCACCAUCACCUGCAUCAUUCACUCCUCUCAGAGCCUGCAUGCACGUGGCAUGCGAGACGACCUGGUGUCUUUCCAAACCGGCAACACGGCUAUCAACGGCUUGUCGAGCCUCAUGUUUGCCUUCAUUGCGCAAGUGAACGCGCCGGAGAUAUCUCGUGAGAUGUACAAGUUUUCUGUGCACCGGGUCUUCUUGUCGGCGCUGCUCGGCAUGUCGCUGUGCGCGAUCCUGUACUUCCUGACAGGACUCUUCGGCUACCUCGACUUUGGUCCUGAGGUGAGCGACUCCAUCCUGGCCAUGUACAACCCCCUGAAGAACCAUCUCAUGGCCGUCUCGUACGUUGGCAUGAUGCUCAAAAUUUGCGUAGGCAUCGCUCUGCACCUGAUCCCCUGCCGCGACUGCGUGUACUACAUGAUCGGCACCGAAGUAUCCCAUGUACCAUGGUGGAAGAACGCCAUCUUGUGCUCCCUACAAGCCGCGGCGGCUCUCGUCGCCGGCCUCUUCAUCCCGCGCAUCACAACCGUCUUUGGUCUUCUGGGUGGUUUCUGCGGUGGCUUUGUGGGCUUCAUCUUCCCCUCGCUGUUCAUGAUGUACUCGGGCGGCUUCUCGACCGCCCGCAUUGGGUGGGGCCACUUCCUCGGCACCUACGCACUGCUACUGACGGGUGUGGUUGCCGUGGUGUGGGGCACUAGCGCCGCCAUCCACGGCGCUGUCCUUUCUUCGUGGUAGGCGUGUCGCGUGCGCAUCCGUGCUGAGCAGAGCUGCACAGUAUGCCCUUUAAAAAAGGAAGCACCGCUGAUGAUUCAAUCGCGUUGCAGGAACGGCCUCCGCAUGCGCGAGGAAGCACAUCGACGCACGUCGCCAGCGUAGAACCGGCACCAGCGACAGCCGUACAAGGGCGUUCACAGAUAAACCUAUCAAGCAGGGCCUCUUCUCUCUUUUUUUUCCUGCCUGUGUACGCACCCCUCAGAUCCUUCCUGUCAUGCUUUUUGUCUCCUUUUGUUUUUACGCGCUUCCACGCAGCUGGAGCUCCGUCUCCCUGGCGCAACGCGCUCGCCCUUGCCUCUGCUCGCUCUUCACCGAGGCUCUGACUGGGCACUCGGGGCGGGCGAAAGGUUUAGGGUGGAGGGCACGCACGAAGUGCGCAUCGGGCUCCGUGUUGCUGUGAUGGAAGGCGGCAUGACGACGAGCAACAAUGCCGGUCAUCGCUCGUUUUUCUUUGUUUCGUGUGUGAAGCCGCUCGCGGUAUCGCUUGCCAGCCUCCAUGAGCUGAAGAAAACGCGCCUAAGAGAUAAAGAGAACCGUUUGUUCUGCAGCCCCCUUCCCUCUCCUCCCCUCUCCUCCCCUUUUUUCCCUUCGCUGUCGUGCCUCUCCGGGGGGGGAGACGUAAGGCGCACUUUGCCGCGGUGUGUCACGCGCUUUCCCUUUUCUCCCCCCCCGUUGCCUGAGCGCGUCUCCAUCAUGCGUGUAUCUGUAUCCAUCUAUAUGGCUAUGGAUGCAUAUGUAUAUGUAGGACGUUUCUUAUUUCUCUGCCCACCUUCGCUUUCCUCGCAUUAU